This 421-nucleotide ribosomal RNA is filed under the name uncultured Bacillota bacterium. RNAcentral's name for it is "bacterial SSU rRNA". It matches the Rfam family "Bacterial small subunit ribosomal RNA", at positions 366 to 788 of the family's 1533-position model. Lineage: Bacteria; Bacillati; Bacillota. The record is from RNAcentral.
CGGCCGCGUCGACGCAACCCUGACCGAGCAACGCCGCGUGAGUGAAGGAGGUUUUCGGAUCGUAAAGCUCUGUUGUAAGUCAAGAACGAGUGUGAGAGUGGAAAGUUCACACUGUGACGGUAGCUUACCAGAAAGGGACGGCUAACUACGUGCCAGCAGCCGCGGUAAUACGUAGGUCCCGAGCGUUGUCCGGAUUUAUUGGGCGUAAAGCGAGCGCAGGCGGUUUGAUAAGUCUGAAGUUAAAGGCUGUGGCUCAACCAUAGCUCGCUUUGGAAACUGUCAAACUUGAGUGCAGAAGGGGAGAGUGGAAUUCCAUGUGUAGCGGUGAAAUGCGUAGAUAUAUGGAGGAACACCGGUGGCGAAAGCGGCUCUCUGGUCUGUAACUGACGCUGAGGCUCGAAAGCGUGGGUCGACGCGGCCG